UGGCCCCUCUUAGACCUCAUUUGAGGGCUGACCGCAACUGCGGCAGGGUCUCUUUCUGGAAGUUCUUCUUUUGUGGAGUUUUUCUGUAAGCCUGGAUCUUCAGGGAUGGGUGCGUAGCGGAGGCUCUUGUGGCGCCGUGCCGCAGCUGGCAGGUAAGCUGUGCGAGUCGCUCGUCUUUUGGCUGUGUCACACUGUAACUGCUGAAGCUGUCGGGAUGGUAGAGGCAGCCGGGUCGUUAAAUGCGGACGCUGCUGCUUGCUGAAGGACUCUGAAGUCGCAGGAUGAGUAUUAGCACGUGUUGUGUAUUCCUUUGUAGGAGUCAGAGAAGAAAGCAAAGAAAGAAAAAACAAGAAUGGAGGAGGGGUUGUAUUCCUGGAGAGCUGUGGUAGGGCCCCAUUAGGAGGUGGGGUAGCGGCCCCGUGUUGUCCCGGUGCUCAGAGAGGAGGAUGAAUCCACGUUAUCCCAGCAGCACGUGCUGGUGCAGAGGGCUGCUGGUAGAUGUGAAGCACGGCACAGCUGGCGUCGUGUCCUCUGCUGGCCGUGGGAGUGAUGAAGUUGCUGUGUCAGUUUGCUUCUUCCUGUGCUCUGUGCCAUGGGUUUGUGUCCCACACACUCAUGGUGUGGGGGCUGCAAUCUGCAUCCUGCGCUUCAGUGUCUGUUUCUUUAGAAAACAGACUGCAGUUGCAGUUUAUGUAGAACUGCUCUUUUCAAAAAGAGAUGAUGGGCCUGAUUUGGACUCAUUGCGAAGUCCCUCAAAUAUCUUGGGUGUGACAACGUGAUUUGUCCUGUUUCUCCAAGUCUGGUAUUUCUGCCGGGCAGGGUGGAUGCUGCGAAGCUUUCUUUUUGAC
RNAcentral lists this long non-coding RNA (848 nucleotides) under Gallus gallus (chicken). RNAcentral describes it as "long non-coding RNA NONGGAT003585". Lineage: Eukaryota; Metazoa; Chordata; Aves; Galliformes; Phasianidae. The record is from RNAcentral.